This 776-nucleotide ribosomal RNA is filed under the name uncultured Neocallimastigales. RNAcentral describes it as "partial large subunit ribosomal RNA". It matches the Rfam family "Eukaryotic large subunit ribosomal RNA", at positions 22 to 616 of the family's 3401-position model. Lineage: Eukaryota; Fungi; Neocallimastigomycota; Neocallimastigomycetes; Neocallimastigales. The record is from RNAcentral.
GUACACGCUGUGACUAGCAUAUCAAUAAGCGGAGGAAAAGAAACUAACAAGGAUUCCCUUAGUAACGGCGAGUGAAGCGGGAAGAGCUCAAAUUUGAAAUCUUAAAGGGUUUCCCUUUACGAAUUGUAGUUUAAAGAAGUGUUUUCUGUUAGAGGUUUCGGUAAAAGUUCUUUGGAAUAGGACAUCAUAGAGGGUGAGAAUCCCGUAUUUGACCGUUAUUUCUAGCUUUGUGAUACACUUUCAAAGAGUCGGAUUGUUUGGGAAUGCAGUCCAAAAUGGGUGGUAAAUUUCAUCUAAAGCUAAAUAUUGGCGAGAGACCGAUAGCGAACAAGUACCGUGAGGGAAAGAUGAAAAGAACUUUGAAAAGAGAGUUAAACAGUACGUGAAAUUGUCAAAAGGGAAGCGUUCGACACCAGUGUUGUUUUUCUGAAAAUCAAUUAAAGAACUGUUUAUGCUAAGCUGUUUAGACUUUAUCAGCUAAUCUGUUUAGUUUUGAGCUUUUCUUUAAUGCACUUUUCAGUUAACAAGUCAACAUCAAUUUCUUUUGCUGUAAAAAAGCUUGAGGAAGGUGGCUUGAGAUUCGUCUUAAGUGUUUAUAGCCUCUUGCCUAUGCAGUCGGAGAGAUUGAGGUCUGCAGCGUAGAUCCUUCGGGGCUAAAUGCAUUUGUGCUAAGUUAUAGCAUUUUAUAGACAACUUGUUGACUAUGAUUUGUCUUGUAGCUUACUCGCUUAUGUUAUUUUACCUACGCUUAGGAUGUUGAGCGCAUGUCUCUCUCU